This 587-nucleotide ribosomal RNA is filed under the name uncultured beta proteobacterium. RNAcentral's name for it is "bacterial SSU rRNA". It matches the Rfam family "Bacterial small subunit ribosomal RNA", at positions 338 to 916 of the family's 1533-position model. The record is from RNAcentral. Lineage: Bacteria; Pseudomonadati; Pseudomonadota; Betaproteobacteria.
CCUACGGGAGGCAGCAGUGGGGAAUUUUGGACAAUGGGGGCAACCCUGAUCCAGCCAUUCCGCGUGAGUGAAGAAGGCCUUCGGGUUGUAAAGCUCUUUCAGCAGGAACGAAACGGUCGUCUCUAACAUAGAUGGCUAAUGACGGUACCUGAAGAAGAAGCACCGGCUAACUACGUGCCAGCAGCCGCGGUAAUACGUAGGGUGCGAGCGUUAAUCGGAAUUACUGGGCGUAAAGCGUGCGCAGGCGGUUUGAUAAGACAGAUGUGAAAUCCCCGGGCUUAACCUGGGAACUGCGUUUGUGACUGUCAGACUCGAGUGCGGCAGAGGGGGGUGGAAUUCCACGUGUAGCAGUGAAAUGCGUAGAGAUGUGGAGGAACACCGAUGGCGAAGGCAGCCCCCUGGGUCGACACUGACGCUCAUGCACGAAAGCGUGGGGAGCAAACAGGAUUAGAUACCCUGGUAGUCCACGCCCUAAGCGAUGCGAACUAGGUGUUGGGGAAGGAGACUUUCUUAGUACCGCAGCUAACGCGUGAAGUUCGCCGCCUGGGGAGUACGGUCGCAAGAUUAAAACUCAAAGGAAUUGACGG